AUCACCUCUCGGCCUUCUGGCUAAGAUCAAAUGUAGCAUCUGUUCUUAUCAGUUUAAUAUAAAUUGUUUAACUAACAUGUACAUGGUAAAUUGUACAUGCACAUGCUGUAGUCUGGGUAGGAUGUGACUAGGUAAAGAGAACAUCUCUGGUACAUGAGAUUGG
Molecule: small nuclear RNA, 163 nt
Organism: Macaca nemestrina (pig-tailed macaque)
Lineage: Eukaryota; Metazoa; Chordata; Mammalia; Primates; Cercopithecidae
Gene: U2
Rfam family: U2 spliceosomal RNA
About the family: U2 is a small nuclear RNA (snRNA) component of the spliceosome (involved in pre-mRNA splicing). Complementary binding between U2 snRNA (in an area lying towards the 5' end but 3' to hairpin I) and the branchpoint sequence (BPS) of the intron results the bulging out of an unpaired adenosine, on the BPS, which initiates a nucleophilic attack at the intronic 5' splice site, thus starting the first of two transesterification reactions that mediate splicing.
Source: Ensembl